UGGGGGAUAUUGCACAAUGGGCGAAAGCCUGAUGCAGCGACGCCGCGUGGAGGAUGAAGGCUUUCGGGUUGUAAACCUCUUUCGCUAUCGAACAAGGCCCGCUUAGGGUGGGUUGAGGGUAGGUGGAGAAGAAGCGCCGGCUAACUACGUGCCAGCAGCCGCGGUAAUACGUAGGGCGCGAGCGUUGUCCGGAAUUAUUGGGCGUAAAGGGCUUGUAGGCGGCUUGGUGCGCCUGCUGUGAAAACGCGGGGCUUAACUUCGCGCGUGCAGUGGGUACGGGCAGGCUUGAGUGUGGUAGGGGUGACUGGAAUUCCAGGUGUAGCGGUGGAAUGCGCAGAUAUCUGGAGGAACACCGAUGGCGAAGGCAGGUCACUGGGCCAUUACUGACGCUGAGGAGCGAAAGCAUGGGUAGCGAACAGG
This 420-nucleotide ribosomal RNA is filed under the name bacterium. RNAcentral's name for it is "partial 16S ribosomal RNA". It matches the Rfam family "Bacterial small subunit ribosomal RNA", at positions 355 to 776 of the family's 1533-position model. The record is from RNAcentral.